Molecule: ribosomal RNA, 281 nt
Filed under: uncultured bacterium
Lineage: Bacteria
Description: partial 16S ribosomal RNA
Rfam family: Bacterial small subunit ribosomal RNA
Source: RNAcentral
GACGAACGCUGGCGGCGCGCUUAACACAUGCAAGUCGAGCGAGAACCAGGGCUUCGGCCCUGGGGAAAGCGGCGAACGGGUGAGUAACACGUGAGUAACCUGUCCUCGGCACCGGGAUAGCCCGGGGAAACCCGGNUUAAUACCGGAUGGCCUUUCGGGUCUUCGGACUCGUCAGAAAAGGGAGCUUCGGCCUCCGGCCGAGGAGGGACUCGCGGCGGAUUAGCUUGUUGGUGAGGUAACGGCUCACCAAGGCACGAUCCGUAGCUGGUCUGAGAGGACGA